AUGUCAUUACGCAGGGCCGAGGCGGCGCGGCCACCUCCUUUAAAUAAGGCCUUCCCGAGGGGCGCUCGACAGUGAGAGGCGUGUGGUGGUGGGGGGGUGUGUGAGUUGUCUGCGGUUCGCGGCCCGCGCCCAAGCCGCCGCGGACCACGAGACAGUGUCCUGAGACCCUCCUGGAACAAGUUAAAUGGAGAAAAACUGAUCCUCCAUCAGCCUCGCUGCUCUGUCUGAAAGACCUUAGGAAUGUUCCUCUGUCUGCUGUUUUCUAAUUUAGAUAUCUAAGUUGAGAACCGGUGGUAGGAACAGGUUCUUGCUUCACCUGAGUUAACAGUGUCUGGCCCGGCCAAUCACCUGCUUUUAAUCUUGACCUUUUGUUUUUCCUCAGUUGAGUGUAAAUUCUAGAGAAAUCCUGCCUUCUCAGGCACCUGCACUACCAGGCAGCAGAAUUGUGAACUUUGUGAACCAGAGGGAAGCAGAAAUCUAGGAGUAAGAGCUCCGUGAUGGCCAUGGGUGAACCAAGGCUGAACUGGGAUGUUUCCCCAAAAAAUGGCCUUAAGACAUUUUUCUCUCGAGAAAAUUAUAAGGAUCAUUCCAUGGCUCCAAGUUUAAAAGAACUGUAUAUUUUAUCUAACAGACGUAUAGGAGAAAAUUUGAAUGCCUCAGCAAGUUCUGUAGAAAAUGAGCCGGCAGUUAGUUCAGCAACUCAAGCAAAGGAAAAAGUUAAAACCACAGUUGGAAUGGUUCUUCUUCCAAAACCAAGAGUUCCUUAUCCUCGUUUCUCUCGUUUCUCACAGAGAGAACAGAGGAAUUAUGUGGAUUUGUUGGUUAAAUAUGCAAAAGCCCCUGUGAAUUCCAAAGCUGGUGGAAUAAAUAAAAAUGACUACUUGCAGUACUUGGAUAUGAAAAAACAUGUGAGCGAAGAAGUUACUGAAUUUCUAAAAUUUCUGCAGAAUUCUGCAAAGAAAUGUGCACAGGAUUAUAACAUGCUUUCUGAUGAUGCUCGUCUGUUCACAGAGCAAAUUCUAAAAGCUUGCGUUGAACAAGUGAAAAAGUAUCCAGAGUUCUACACUCUCCAUGAAGUCACCAGCUUAAUGGGAUUCUUCCCAUUCAGAAUAGAGAUGGGAUUAAAGUUAGAAAAAACCCUUCUUGCAUUGGGCAGCGUGAAAUAUGUGAAAACAGUGUUUCCCUCAAUGCCAGCAAAGUUGCAACUAUCAAAAGAUAACAUACCUACCACUGAAAUACCAGAACAAACAGCUGCAUCUAUGCAUUAUGAUAUUAGUAAAGACCCAAAUGCAGAGAAGCUUGUUGCAAGAUACCACCCUCAGAUAGCUCUAACUAGUCAAUCAUUAUUUACCUUAUUAAAUAAUCAUGGACCAAGCUACAAGGAGCAGUGGGAAAUUCCAGUGUGUAUUCAAGUAAUACCUGUUGAAGGUUCAAAACCAAUUAAAGUAAUAUAUAUUAAUUCACCACUUCCUCAAAAGAAAAUGACAAUGAGAGAGAGAAAUCAAAUCUAUCAUGAAGUUCCCUUGAAAUUCAUGAUGUCCAAAAACACAUCUGUUCCAGUCUCUGCAGUGUUUAUGGACAAACCAGAAGAAUAUAUAUCUGACAUGGAGUCCGUCUUUGGAAAUGCCCCUUCGAUUCUUAGGAGGGAAAAGAUAUCGUAUGAAGCUAAUGAGUACCGAAAAAUUGAGACCCUUGAAAAUUUGGAUCUGGAUUUUGAUGAUGAUGUCACAGAACUUGAAACUUUUGGAGUAACCACCACCAGACCGUCAAAGUCACCAAGUCCAACAAGUGCUUCCACAGUACCCAACACAACAGAUAUGCCCCCAGUCCCCAGCACAGCAAUCGCAUCUGUGGCACCAACUGCACCAGACAUUUCUGCUCAGUCUAGAAGUUUAUCUCAGAUUCUGAUGGAACAGUUGCAGAAGGAGAAACAGCUGGUGACUGCUAUGGAUGGUGGCCUUGAAGAAUGUAAAAAUAAAGAUGAUCAGGGAUUUAUACCAUGUGGUAAAAAGCUAUCAAAUUCUGACAAGUCUCUUGUGCAAGAUAGUGACUUAAAAACAUCUGAUGCCUUACAGUUAGAAAGUUCUACAGAAAUUGAAACCUCUGAUGAAAAUGUUAUGGCCACUGAUAUGGAGUGUGUUUGUGAAGGACUGAAUGUUCUGGAGAACACAGACAAUAAUUCAAAGGAAAAGACUGUUAUAUCUGAAGCUGCUAAAACUGAAGAUGUAAUUCUUUGCAAUAGUGAUACAGAUGAAGACUGUUUAAUCAUUGAUACAGAAUGUCAAAAUAAUGGUAAUGGAAAGACAGCUGAUAUGGGUUCUAAUAUAAAUUCUAAACCAGCUAACCUAAAUUCUUCCUCAGAACAGGCUUCUGUAGGAAACCAGACUAACACUGCAUGUAGUCCUGAAGAAUCAUGUGUUUUAAAAAAACCUAUCAAACGAGUAUAUAAAAAAUUUGAUCCAGUUGGAGAAAUUUUAAAAAUGCAGGAUGAACUCUUAAAGCCAAUUUCCAGAAAAAUACCUGAAUUGCCCUUAAUGAACUCAGAAAAUUCUAAACAACCUUCUAUUUCUGAGCAACCCUCUGCUCCUUCAGAUGCUUCUGGUUGGCCAAAAUCUAUAUGGCCUUCUGCCUUUCAGAAGCCAAAAGGACGAUUGCCGUAUGAACUUCAGGACUAUGUUGAAGAUACGUCAGAAUAUGUAGCUCCUCAGGAAGGAAAUUUUGUUUACAAGCUCUUUAGCCUGCAAGACCUGUUGUUACUUGUGCGAUGCAGUGUCCAGAGAAUAGAGACCAGACCACGUUCUAAAAAACGGAAGAAAAUUCGAAGACAAUUUCCGGUUUAUGUACUACCAAAAGUGGAGUAUCAAGCUUGUUAUGGAGUUGAAGCUCUGACUGAAAGUGAACUUUGUCGCUUAUGGACUGAGAGUUUAUUGCAUUCUAACUGCUCAUUUUAUGUUGGCACAGAGAAUAUAUCUGGCACACAGAGAUAUUCAGACAUAUUGAUGCAUUUACUUCAAAGCUUUUCCUGCUGGAAGAAAUUACCUCAGAAGAAUUAAAAGAAAAACUUUCAGCACUUAAGAUUUCAAGUUUAUUUAACAUCCUCCAACACAUUCUAAGAAAAUUAAGCAGCUUGCAGGAAGGUUCCUACUUGUUGUCUCAUGCAGCAGAAGAUUCUUCACUCCUGAUCUACAAGACGUCUGAUGGAAAAGUUACUAGAACGGCAUACAAUUUGCAUAAAACACACUGUGGCCUUCCUGGUGUACCUUCCAGUCUCUCAGUUCCCUGGGUCCCAUUAGAUCCCAGUCUCUUAUUACCGUAUCAUAUCCAUCAUGGACGAAUUCCUUGUACUUUUCCACCUAAGUCACUAGGCCCCACAACACAACAAAAGAUUGGUGGAACAAGAAUGCCUACCCGCAGCCGCAGGAAUUCAGUUUCCAUGGAAACCAAAAGCCUGCCUGCUCAGCAAGUUGAAAAUGAAGGAGUGGCUCCAAGUAAAAGAAAAAUAACUUAAGGACUGUACCUUGGAAAACGAAGAAAAAACAUUAUAACAACAUUCAGUUUAGAGAAGUUUGAGGGGAAACAUGCCUGAAAGAUCUGUAGGCAAGAGGAUCGAUAUUCUUUCACUAUCUUUGAGAAUUCUUAGAGUGCCUUGAAAAAAAUGUGUUGACUGUGUGAAGCAGUGUUCCAACUAAAAUAGAAAGUUGGGCUCUUAACACCUGAUGUACAAAUAUUACAUUGUCGUGGCAGGGAAAUAGAGAAGAAAAUAUUUUUAUAGUAGAGCUUUUCCAAAAGAUGCAAAUAGGAAAAUAACUUGCUUUUCUCAGGAGCAAUAUGUUUCAUUAUGUAUUGUGUUAAUAAUUAGAGUUGUAUUGUGAUCUCUGGAGAUUGGCUCCAAAGCUUCAAUCUUGCCACUGUCAGAGAUAAUUUUGAGCUGUGUAAACCUUAUUUCUGAUCCAUUAGACAGUGUUAAUUACUACUUUAAAAGGAUGAUUGCUACAGGUUAAUGAAAUUAGUAUCUUUCAAAACUUGGUAAAAUUUCAUUGCAGAAGCCAAAAAUAAAAAAUAAAAAACUCUCUGCCUGGGAGUUCCCUGGUGUCCUGCCAGGUUAAGGAUCUGGCAUUGUUAUUGCUGUGGUGAGGGUUUGAUCCCUGGCCUAGAAACUUCCACAUUCCAUGGGCAUGGCCAAAACAAAAAACUCUCUGUGUCUGAAAAUCCACAAGUAAACAGUUUUUUUGGUUGGGCAGCCAUCAGAUUGUUUAAAAACAAACAAACCAAAAAAAACAUAUGUGGUGUAACAGGUUUGGUGAUGAAUGCCUCUAUCUUUGGCACAAAUCCUGGCUAAGUGUUGAAAUGCACUACUAAAAACAAAGAGGUGAGUAUGUUUUCCAGAAAAAAUCUCAUAUUUCAAUUGACAAUGUGUGGUAAAACAGAAGCUAUUUUUCCUCAUCUACACUGAUUAAUCUAAAUUUUUCAGGACUGUGGAGAUGAAUUUGGAAAAGGGAGUGAUCAAUUCAUGUUUUGUAGGCAACUUGGACUUGAGAGAGGAUGGAGUUAUAUAAUUUUUGUAUUCCUCUUCUUUAAUGUGUGCUGAAUAUGUACAUCAUUUGUAAAAUACAAGCUUUGUAAUCUAAGACAGUAUUGCUUUGUUUUUAGGAAUUUUCUAUGCAUUUUUUAUUAAUACAAGAAAUUAGUCCUAGAAAGCUUCUCGGUUGUUAUGAAUAACAGUUAUGUAUUUUUUUAUUACCAAGUUUUAUUUCAAAAAUUUUUGAUUGGUUAUAAAAUAUUUUAAAUUAAUGAGUAAUUAUUAGUAAAAUUGUGUAUUAUAAUAUAUAAUUUCCUCAUCUUGCCA
Non-coding RNA from Sus scrofa (pig), 4846 nucleotides. The record is from RefSeq and is a predicted model, not a curated record. Lineage: Eukaryota; Metazoa; Chordata; Mammalia; Artiodactyla; Suidae.